This 465-nucleotide ribosomal RNA is filed under the name uncultured bacterium. Its description in RNAcentral is "partial 16S ribosomal RNA". It matches the Rfam family "Bacterial small subunit ribosomal RNA", at positions 28 to 507 of the family's 1533-position model. The record is from RNAcentral.
GACGAACGCUGGCGGCGUGCUUAACACAUGCAAGUCGUACGGUAAGGCCCUUUCGGGGGUACACGAGUGGCGAACGGGUGAGUAACACGUGAGUAACCUGCCCACAACUUUGGGAUAACGCUAGGAAACUGGUGCUAAUACUGGAUAUGUGCUCCUGCUGCAUGGUGAGGGUUGGAAAGCUCCGGCGGUUGUGGAUGGACUCGCGGCCUAUCAGCUUGUUGGUGGGGUAGUGGCCUACCAAGGCGGCGACGGGUAGCCGGCCUGAGAGGGUGACCGGCCACAUUGGGACUGAGAUACGGCCCAGACUCCUACGGGAGGCAGCAGUGGGGAAUAUUGCACAAUGGGCGCAAGCCUGAUGCAGCAACGCCGCGUGCGGGAUGACGGCCUUCGGGUUGUAAACCGCUUUCAGCAGGGACGAAGCUUUUUGUGACGGUACCUGCAGAAGAAGCACCGGCUAACUACGUG